This 2696-nucleotide long non-coding RNA is filed under the name Androctonus crassicauda. Lineage: Eukaryota; Metazoa; Arthropoda; Arachnida; Scorpiones; Buthidae. The record is from RNAcentral.
AAGAGUGUUUCAGCAAGGAGUGAAAGCGUAUUUAUUGUGUUCGAAAGUAAAAUUUCUUUACCUGUAGUUUUUCUUCCUUCUUUGUCCUGUAGUUUUUCAUCCCGUGGAUGUGUGAUAAGCUAUUAAGACUUAUUUUUAGCAUUUUAAGAUACUGUGUUCAGUACAGUUUUUUCUCCUAAACUUCUACUCUUAAGUGUACUGUAAUCUUUGAGUUAUAAUGAAUCUCAUUUAAAAUGGUAACGUGAGGUUAAUUGUAACAAAGUACGUGGGGACGAUUGUAACACGUUACAAAUGACCACGCCGUAUAAAAUAUAUUUUCUCUUCUCCUAAAGUUAAAAUACAUUGACGACAUACUAAAUUUUAAUUGCAUUCUCUCCAGAAAUAGUGCACCCUUCACCUAAGGCAAACGUCAUCAACACAUCUAACUUGUAAGCACCCAGAAGAAGGAGAGAAAAAAAGCUCUAUUUUAAUCAGUACGCCAGAAAGACUGGCACUGGAAGAAAAAGCGAAAAAGAGAAUGAAUGUCGGAAAGAAAAGUCAUCCUAAGGCGGGCGGAAACGAAACUGUAAACAACAGACUAAUUUAGAAAAUGAUAGUGAAGAUUCAGAAGAGGAAUCUUUCUGUCUUGUCUGUUUGGAUAAUUAUAACAAUAUUCGUCCCGGGGAACAAUGCAUAUUAUGUGUAAUGUGUAGAAAAUGGGCACAUAUUCGUUGUACGAAAGCACAAACAACAUAUUAUGAAUGCAUGAAUUAUGAAUUGUGAAUGAAUGCAUAAAUUGUUGAUACAUUCAUUCAUAAUUCAUGCAAACAAAUCACUGGUUUGGGACCGAUUGAUCUAAGCAUCAGUCUUGAUGCUUAGAUCAAUCGGCCUUGGAUUGGUGAUUUGUUUUGAAUAAAUAAAGAUAUACUAAUUUUUUCUUUUGUAUUAAAUUUGCUUAAGGAUUUGUUUUAAUAAAGGUAUUUUAAGUAAUUAGUUGAAAAGAAUAACUAUUAUUUACGACGACUGUUACAAUUGACCCCUGCGUAUGUUUCAAUUCUCCCCGUGAAUGGGGUCAAAUGUAACAAUACACAUUAUCUCGAAUAUGUAAAAUAUUGUCUAACACAUUUUUCAUUUGACUAUAAUAAAUAUCUGUCCUUGAAUGUCAAAGCAAGUCCUAAAAAUAUUUUGAAAUUUUAUACUCGCACACUGAAGAUGUUAUCCAUAAAAAUGUAGCCUACAUUUUUUUUAUAUUUGACCCUAGUCUCCCCUACCUGUUUCCGUACGCUGUUUAAUCGCAGAUUUAUCCCUACUAGUCAAGAAUUUCUAUUCUGAUAGGAAUGAUUACGACUUACUAUCUCGAAAAUUUGCUGAAAAAUUCUGUUCUGUAACGAAUCGACGUCGACUUUCUGAUGUGCACGGUGGCUGAUAAAAUAAGUUCUGAUCCCAUUCAUUACCUGGUGGUAUGCUAAAUCUCCGAGGCAGCGAGAACAUCGGUGCAAACCUUGGUCUCUAGCAUUCAGUUACUUGCGGAUGAGAUUUUGAAUUCCAAUUAAAUAAAGUUCUAUUCUGUGAUAACCUAAUAGCGAAACGCGACUGACUAUAAACCUAUAUUCUCGAAAUUUGUACGCCAUACGUGGUUUGUAUCGUGGUGUAUCUUGUUUCCCUGUUGCUACUAUUUGUUAUGAGGUAGUCGCUGUUUGUGAGUUCAUCCUUUUUCCAUUUUGGGUUCUAAUUUAUCAAGACUAUUAGUAAUUUGUUUUAUUGAAUGUUUGUAACUCAUCUGCAUUAUUUACACGCGCUCUAUGCGCCUAACUCAUCUACACCGGCAUUCGCUUUGUUAAUUUCCCUUAUCAUUCCAACAAAUGAUCGAGAUUUACCGGCAGCUUGUUCUGUGCGCGUUGCUACUAACAGCGCUUCUUUAAAUGUUUUUGGAUGGUGGGACAUGACAACUCGUUUAAUUCUUUUGUAAAUUUAAAAAUUGUAUACCUAAUCAUUCCUUGUUUUGUCAUCGCUCAACUACAUUUUUUUCCUGUUCCGUGACGCUUUCUACAUCAAUUGUGGUUUCGACGGCGAGUGUUUGCAACCUCACAUCAUAAGUUUGAACAUCUUCCCCCUUUUUUGAAAACAGUUAUGAAUUUUUGUAGUCUGAUUGUGUAAGGCUACUUGGCAAACGAUCUGAAUUCCUUAUAAUCAGUUACGCCUUUAAUCCCCAAAUCAUGCCAAGCAUAAUCUCGCAUAAUUCCCAUUAAUUUACACUUCGCCACUACUAAUUUUUAUUUGUCUGAUCACAACGCUAAUUCGUCAAUAAUAUCAAAACAAUCAGUUAUACGUAAAGUCGGCUCACCUCCAAAGCUUUGAAACAUUGGAGCGAAAGCGGAGAAACAUCCAGGAGCUGUCUCACGGGUCACUAUAUCAGGAAGAUUUUCGCUGGCCAUUUUGAAGUUUUAUAGGUGCCACAGCUAUAAUUCGUCCCAAUUUGGUUCCAACUAAACUUCUUGAUCCCACUUCUGACACCAGUUAUGGAUUUCGCCCGGACUACAUGUACAGGUAACUAGGCCUAUCGCGGUCGUAUGUGGCAGGCGCGCGUAAGUCCAAAUCCAAGAGGGAAUCCUUUGAUACAGUGACUGACAGCGACAAUUGUUUAAUCAAACCAUAGAUCUUUUAUUGAGAGAGAUUUUGCAUAAGCAUUUUCGGAGGAUAAAUAUCUUUUCUUUCUG